CGGACGGGUGAGUAACACGUGGAUAACCUACCUAUAAGACUGGGAUAACUUCGGGAAACCGGAGCUAAUACCGGAUAAUAUUUUGAACCGCAUGGUUCAAAAGUGAAAGACGGUCUUGCUGUCACUUAUAGAUGGAUCCGCGCUGCAUUAGCUAGUUGGUAAGGUAACGGCUUACCAAGGCAACGAUGCGUAGCCGACCUGAGAGGGUGAUCGGCCACACUGGAACUGAGACACGGUCCAGACUCCUACGGGAGGCAGCAGUC
Molecule: ribosomal RNA, 263 nt
Filed under: uncultured Staphylococcus sp.
Lineage: Bacteria; Bacillati; Bacillota; Bacilli; Caryophanales; Staphylococcaceae
Description: partial 16S ribosomal RNA
Rfam family: Bacterial small subunit ribosomal RNA
Source: RNAcentral